RNAcentral lists this transfer RNA (77 nucleotides) under Verrucomicrobiota bacterium. RNAcentral's name for it is "Verrucomicrobia bacterium tRNA-Pro". It matches the Rfam family "tRNA". From Rfam's summary of the family: Transfer RNA (tRNA) molecules are approximately 80 nucleotides in length. Their secondary structure includes four short double-helical elements and three loops (D, anti-codon, and T loops). The record is from RNAcentral. Lineage: Bacteria; Pseudomonadati; Verrucomicrobiota.
CGGGGCGUAGCUCAGCCUGGUAGAGCACUGGUUUUGGGAGCCAGGUGUCGGUGGUUCAAAUCCACUCGCCCCGACCA